GCCUUCGUGGUGUAAUGGUCAGCAUAGUCGGCGCGUAUUUGAAAGAAUCGAGGUUCGAGUCCCGGCGAGGGCA
This 73-nucleotide transfer RNA is filed under the name Stegodyphus mimosarum. It matches the Rfam family "tRNA". From Rfam's summary of the family: Transfer RNA (tRNA) molecules are approximately 80 nucleotides in length. Their secondary structure includes four short double-helical elements and three loops (D, anti-codon, and T loops). Further hydrogen bonds mediate the characteristic L-shaped molecular structure. tRNAs have two regions of fundamental functional importance: the anti-codon, which is responsible for specific mRNA codon recognition, and the 3' end, to which the tRNAs corresponding amino acid is attached (by aminoacyl-tRNA synthetases). tRNAs cope with the degeneracy of the genetic code in two manners: having more than one tRNA (with a specific anti-codon) for a particular amino acid; and 'wobble' base-pairing, i.e. permitting non-standard base-pairing at the 3rd anti-codon position. The record is from Rfam by way of RNAcentral. Lineage: Eukaryota; Metazoa; Arthropoda; Arachnida; Araneae; Eresidae.